GUAACCUUUAUCUGUACCUGCAACUAGUGUUGUAGUAAUCUGUGAGCCACAGGAGACUCAGCAAUCUCAUUUCCAAAGGUAUCAAGACUAGCAAAGCUUAAUGGGUGAGGUAUGGUUAAGUGGUGAGGUUGUAGCAGCGGCUAAGCAUAUAUUUGGUGGCUAAACUUACGAGUACAAGAAAUAAUAGGGGGGAGUUCUGCACAUCGCGAACGUGACUACUGAUGAUCAAAUGAAUGAUCCUGAACACCUACCUACGUCAGGCAUAACCCC
Molecule: long non-coding RNA, 270 nt
Filed under: Hordeum vulgare
Lineage: Eukaryota; Viridiplantae; Streptophyta; Magnoliopsida; Poales; Poaceae
Description: long non-coding RNA (HVUL_LNC015431)
Source: RNAcentral